AUUGAACGCUGGCGGCAUGCCUUACACAUGCAAGUCGAACGGUAACGGGCCUUCGGGUGCCGACGAGUGGCGAACGGGUGAGUAAUACAUCGGAACGUGCCCGAUCGUGGGGGAUAACGAGGCGAAAGCUUUGCUAAUACCGCAUACGAUCUACGGAUGAAAGCAGGGGAUCGCAAGGCCUUGCGCGGACGGAGCGGCCGAUGGCAGAUUAGGUAGUUGGUGGGAUAAAAGCUUACCAAGCCGACGAUCUGAAGCUGGUCUGAGAGGAUGAUCAGCCACACUGGGACUGAGACACGGCCCAGACUCCUACGGGAGGCAGCAGUGGGGAAUUUUGGACAAUGGGCGCAAGCCUGAUCCAGCCAUGCCGCGUGCAGGAUGAAGGCCUUCGGGUUGUAAACUGCUUUUGUACGGAACGAAAAGCCUUCUUUUAAUACAGGAGGGUCAUGACGGUACCGUAAGAAUAAGCACCGGUUAACUACGUG
This 482-nucleotide ribosomal RNA is filed under the name uncultured bacterium. Its description in RNAcentral is "partial 16S ribosomal RNA". It matches the Rfam family "Bacterial small subunit ribosomal RNA", at positions 30 to 507 of the family's 1533-position model. The record is from RNAcentral.